Molecule: small RNA, 159 nt
Filed under: Oryza sativa Japonica Group (Japanese rice)
Lineage: Eukaryota; Viridiplantae; Streptophyta; Magnoliopsida; Poales; Poaceae
Description: sRNA Os02g0106933
Source: RNAcentral
GUAGUAGGAGAGAGGAGAGUGACGUGUACCGUGGUCGUCGGAGUAGGCGAGGAGGGAGACGAUGUGGGGGUGGCGGAGGCGGCGGAGCAGGUCGAGCUCCUGCCGGAACGCGCGCAGCCACCGCUCGCCGCCGCACCACCGGUGCACCUUCACCGCCAC